RNAcentral lists this unclassified non-coding RNA (1679 nucleotides) under Hevea brasiliensis (rubber tree). Lineage: Eukaryota; Viridiplantae; Streptophyta; Magnoliopsida; Malpighiales; Euphorbiaceae. The record is from RNAcentral.
GAAUAACACAAGGUUGAGAAUCUUCGUGCAAGUAUGCAAGUCCUCUCGCUGCAUCAAGCGCAAUUUUCAUUCUUGUGUCCCAAUCCAGAGGGCAAUUUAAUCCUAAGUGGCCAUGAAGCCAAGCCUCUAAACUUCCAUUUGAAACAAGCUCAUAACAUAGUAGGUUCUGUGAGGACUCCCGACUGCUAUAGUAACCAACAAGCUUCACAAGAUUACGGUGAUGCAGCCUACUAAGCAUCUCAACCUCAACUAGGAACUCUUUACCUCCUUGUUGGCCUCCACUAGUAAGUCUUUUUAUUGCAACAGCAGUACCAUCACUAAGCACGCCCUUGUAAACUCUGCCAAAGCCGCCCUCUCCAAGUAUACUAGCUGGUGCAAAGUUAUUUGUAGCUUCUUUCAGUUCUUCAUAUGGAAGAAACCGUGUACUAGUUGGAUGGGGAAAUGAUCCCUGAGCAGGAACAGUCUCUACACGCAUUGGUUUUUCAGCUUCUUUGUGGGAGCCUUUCUUCUGUCCAUGAUUAGAUCCACAGAAACAAAUAAAGAGUGUUGAUAUGAUAGUGAUGAUUAAGAUGCCAGCAACAAUCCCAACAAUAAGAAUUAAACUCGGAUGUCUCCCUUUGUGUGAAGAUACUGUUACUGCAGGAGCUGAAGGAAGAUGCGGAGCUGCUAAAACUGGUGACAUAGCAGAACGAGGAGCUUGUGAUGAAACUGGUGGCUUAAACAAGGUAAUGUUGAGCAAUUGGUAUCCACCCACUAGUGUUGGGUCUAGUUGGAUCUUAUGCAUUGAUAAUGAAGCGUUUACAGCUGAAGCUUCAUCAGAUGAUAAGCUAACUCCCUUGUAUGGUGUGAUAUCCAUGGAUAUAUUUAGCUUUGAAAGAUCCACCAUAUAAAAGUUAAUCAGCUCAAUUUGAGACACCUUUAAACCUAGCUGUGAAGCAAAUUCAUUUAGAAAAAGUUUCCAAUUAGGAUUUGAUGAGACAUUCAAGAGAAGAAGGUCAAUCUUUAACGGGUAAACACACUCGCAGUCCAGGCUUCCUCGUUUGAGCACCAUAUCUUGUCCACAACAGUCUGUGGAAGUGUGAGGAGAAAGUGGUGGCUGAACCAAACCAGUGGGUAGAGUACUAGGACUGGAUUGAGGGGGUGCAAGGCCAGCACUAGGAGGCACCAAUCCAUUUUUCUUCAUUGAUGGCUUCGACAAGCUGGAACUGGAAGGAGCGUGCGCAGCAGUUACUAAAGGACCGUAAUCAGGAGGCUGAGCUGGAGCUAGCCCAAGCCAUGGCGCACCAUGAGGAGAAUGUUUCCUAUGCUGUCUAUGAAAACCAGGUACAUUCGCUGGCAGGGGCAGAUCAGGUAGGCCAGGUGCUUCAACAGGUUUAUUGACUGGAGUAACAGGUUGUUGCUCAAAUGGCUCAUCAGGCAACUCAGCAUUAGUGAUGCACAAGAAAAAAAAUAAAAUGGUUAAAUUCUUCAGCUUCAAAGACUGGCCCCUCUUUGAUAACCUAGCACAACACGGGAAGAACAGUAGCUUUGACAAGUCCAACAUCACUUGACGCCAAUGAAAACAAACACCGUUCGGAUCUGAAGAAAUUGAACAAACUAACAGCUAGAUCGAAAAGUAGCAGUACAAACAACACUACAAGCAAAAACAACUUGCAUCAGCUAUCAAAUGAGGACCUAAA